This 73-nucleotide transfer RNA is filed under the name Camelus bactrianus (Bactrian camel). It matches the Rfam family "tRNA". From Rfam's summary of the family: Transfer RNA (tRNA) molecules are approximately 80 nucleotides in length. Their secondary structure includes four short double-helical elements and three loops (D, anti-codon, and T loops). Further hydrogen bonds mediate the characteristic L-shaped molecular structure. tRNAs have two regions of fundamental functional importance: the anti-codon, which is responsible for specific mRNA codon recognition, and the 3' end, to which the tRNAs corresponding amino acid is attached (by aminoacyl-tRNA synthetases). tRNAs cope with the degeneracy of the genetic code in two manners: having more than one tRNA (with a specific anti-codon) for a particular amino acid; and 'wobble' base-pairing, i.e. permitting non-standard base-pairing at the 3rd anti-codon position. Lineage: Eukaryota; Metazoa; Chordata; Mammalia; Artiodactyla; Camelidae. The record is from Rfam by way of RNAcentral. RNAcentral also lists the same sequence under 2 other names.
GAAGGUAUAGCUCAAGUGGCAGAGCACAUGCUUAGCAUGCAUGAAGUCCUAGGUUCAAUCCCCAGUAUCUCCA